GACGAACGCUGGCGGCGUGCUUAACACAUGCAAGUCGAACGGGAAGAAAAAGAAGAGCUUGCUCUUUUUUGGAUCCUAGUGGCAAACGGGUGAGUAACACGUAAACAACCUGCCUUCAGGAUGGGGACAACAGACGGAAACGACUGCUAAUACCGAAUACCUUCCAAUUUCCGCAUGGAGAUAGGAAGAAAGGGUGGCCUCUACUUGUAAGCUAUCGCCUGAAGAGGGGUUUGCGUCUGAUUAGCUAGUUGGUGAGGUAACGGCCCACCAAGGCGACGAUCAGUAGCCGGUCUGAGAGGAUGAACGGCCACACUGGAACUGAGACACGGUCCAGACUCCUACGGGAGGCAGCAGUGGGGAAUCUUCCGCAAUGGACGAAAGUCUGACGGAGCAACGCCGCGUGAACGAUGAAGGUCUUCGGAUUGUAAAGUUCUGUGAUCCGGGACGAAGGCAUCAAUUGAGAAUAUUGAUUGAUGUUGACGGUACCGGAAAAGCAAGCCACGGCUAACUACGUGCCAGCAGCCGCAGUAA
This 531-nucleotide ribosomal RNA is filed under the name uncultured bacterium. RNAcentral's name for it is "partial 16S ribosomal RNA". It matches the Rfam family "Bacterial small subunit ribosomal RNA", at positions 28 to 523 of the family's 1533-position model. The record is from RNAcentral.